AAUCCGUGAUGUGGGCGGCAUCUCAAAAGAUCUUUAAAUCUCUCCAUGCAUCGUACAUGCUUUCAUCGUAUUUGCACAAAAGAAGAUAUGUCAUUUCUAAGUUU
Small nucleolar RNA from Ricinus communis (castor bean), 104 nucleotides. The record is from RefSeq and is a predicted model, not a curated record. Lineage: Eukaryota; Viridiplantae; Streptophyta; Magnoliopsida; Malpighiales; Euphorbiaceae.